Phascolarctos cinereus (koala) is the source of this 559-nucleotide non-coding RNA. The record is from RefSeq and is a predicted model, not a curated record. NCBI's taxonomy places the organism in Eukaryota, Metazoa, Chordata, Mammalia, Diprotodontia, Phascolarctidae.
ACUGAGGCUGAGGAAUGAAGGGACUUGCCUGGGGGUCUCACAAUGCGUAUAUGAGGAAGGAUUUGAACCCAGGUCUUCAAGACUCCAAGCCUUUCCUUCAAUCUGCUAUAUAAGGCAGUGGGAUUCCCAGCUUCCUUCAAACACAACUCUGCUGCAAUUAGACUCCACUGAAUCUCGCCACCUUUAGCCAUCACCAGGUAGGUGAGGAAAGACAACAGACGUGGAAAGUCAGUGUGGCGCUAUGGACGGAGAGCUGCACUCAACCCCAGAAAGACCUGGGUUCAAAUACAGUCUCUGACACAUGCUGGAUCCCCAACUCCAGGCUAUCUCACCUUUCCGCUUUCAAGGCCUCCAUCUAAGACAAAAGUCACCAACCUCCAUUCGUAAAGGAAGAUUCCUUAUCUGAGAAUCCCAUAUAUCGGCAACAUUAUAGCUCAUGUCACUGUCCCCAUCUCUUGGUUAAUUUUGGUCAGACAUUUGACAAAGUCUCUUCUGCUGUGAUUAUGGACAAGGUGGAGUGAUUGGGUAUGGCUUCUUCUGGUGGGUCUGUAACUCAGAG